This 875-nucleotide ribosomal RNA is filed under the name uncultured archaeon. RNAcentral's name for it is "bacterial SSU rRNA". It matches the Rfam family "Archaeal small subunit ribosomal RNA", at positions 21 to 903 of the family's 1478-position model. The record is from RNAcentral.
CCUGACUGCUAUCGGAUUGAUACUAAGCCAUGCGAGUCUUUGCAGUAAUGCAAGGCAUACGGCUCAGUAACACGUAGUCAACUUACCCUAUGGACGAGGAUAAUCUCGGGAAACUGAGCAUAAUACUCGAUAGAUCAUAAUGCCUGGAAUGGUUUAUGGUUGAAAUGAUUCGUCGCCAUAGGAUGGGACUGCGGCCUAUCAGCUUGUUGGUGAGGUAAUGGCCCACCAAGGCGAUUACAGGUACGGGCUCUGAGAGGAGAAGCCCGGAGAUGGGUACUGAGACAAGGACCCAGGCCCUAUGGGGCGCAGCAGGCGAGAAAACUUUGCAAUGUGCGAAAGCACGACAAGGUUAAUCCGAGUGAUUUCUGCUAAAGAAAUCUUUUGCAAGUCAUAAAACCACUAGUGAAUAAGGGGUGGGCAAGUCCUGGUGUCAGCCGCCGCGGUAAGACCAGCACCUCAAGUGGUCAGGAGGAUUAUUGGGCCUAAAGCAUCCGUAGCCGGCUCUGUAAGUUUUCGGUUAAAUCCAUGUGCUCAACGCAUGGGCUGCCGAAAAUACUGCAUAGCUAGGGAGUGGGAGAGGUAGACGGUACUCGGUAGGAAGGGGUAAAAUCCUUUGAUCUAUCGAUGACCACCUGUGGCGAAGGCGGUCUACCAGAACACGUUCGACGGUGAGGGAUGAAAGCUGGGGGAGCAAACCGGAUUAGAUACCCGGGUAGUCCCAGCCGUAAACGAUGCAGACUCGAUGAUGCAUUGGCAUAUAGCCAGUGCAGUGUCGCAGGGAAGCCGUUAAGUCUGCCGCCUGGGAAGUACGUACGCAAGUAUGAAACUUAAAGGAAUUGGCGGGGGAGCACCACAAGGGGUGAAGCCUGCGGUUC